Molecule: ribosomal RNA, 440 nt
Filed under: uncultured bacterium
Lineage: Bacteria
Description: bacterial SSU rRNA
Rfam family: Bacterial small subunit ribosomal RNA
Source: RNAcentral
CCUACGGGAGGCAGCAGUGGGGAAUUUUGGGCAAUGGCCGCAAGGCUGACCCAGCAACGCCGCGUGAGCGAUGAAGUCCUUCGGGAUGUAAAGCUCGGAAGCCGGGGAAGAAAAGCCCGGGGCUAACACCCCCGGGUCUUGACGGUACCCGGUCUAAGCCCCGGCUAACUACGUGCCAGCAGCCGCGGUAAUACGUAGGGGGCAAGCGUUGUUCGGAAUUACUGGGCGUAAAGCGCGCGUAGGCGGCGCGGUCAGUCGGGUGUGAAAGCCCCGGGCUCAACCCGGGAACGGCACUCGAUACUGCCGGGCUGGAGUACGGAAGAGGCGGCCGGAAUUCCCAGUGUAGCGGUGAAAUGCGUAGAUAUUGGGAGGAACACCGGGUGCGAAGGCGGGCCGCUGGGCCGAUACUGACGCUGAGGCGCGAAAGCCAGGGGAGCGAA